AUUUAAAUAGUUUAAUUAAAAUGUUAGUUUGUGGAACUAAGGAUGUAUUUUUAUACUUUAAAUU
This 64-nucleotide transfer RNA is filed under the name Mantura chrysanthemi. RNAcentral's name for it is "tRNA-His". The record is from RNAcentral. Lineage: Eukaryota; Metazoa; Arthropoda; Insecta; Coleoptera; Chrysomelidae.